GAUGAAGAACGUAGCGAAAUGCGAUAAGUAGUGUGAAUUGCAGAAUUCAGUGAUUCAUCGAAUCUUUGAACGCACAUUGCGCCCUUUGGUAUUCCAAAGGGCAUGCCUGUUCGAGCGUCAUUUGUACCCUCAAGCUUUGCUUGGUGUUGGGCGUCUUGUCUCUAGCUUUGCUGGAGACUCGCCUUAAAGUAAUUGGCAGCCGGCCCACUGGUUUCGGAGCGCAGCACAAGUCGCACUCUCUAUCAGCAAAGGUCUAGCAUCCAUUAAGCCUUUUUUUCAACUUUUGACCUCGGAUCAGGUAGGGAUACCCGCUGAACUUAAGCAUAUCAAUAAGCGGAGGA
RNAcentral lists this unclassified non-coding RNA (341 nucleotides) under soil metagenome. RNAcentral's name for it is "partial contains 5.8S ribosomal RNA, internal transcribed spacer 2, and large subunit ribosomal RNA". The stretch from base 1 to 120 matches the Rfam family "5.8S ribosomal RNA", at positions 35 to 154 of the family's 154-position model. The record is from RNAcentral.